GGACCCAUAGCCAAGCUGGUUAAGGCAAGGGACUGCAACUCCCUGAUCGUUGGUUCGAAUCUGACUGGGUCCU
Molecule: transfer RNA, 73 nt
Filed under: Clostridium sp. CAG:302
Lineage: Bacteria; Bacillati; Bacillota; Clostridia; Eubacteriales; Clostridiaceae
Rfam family: tRNA
About the family: Transfer RNA (tRNA) molecules are approximately 80 nucleotides in length. Their secondary structure includes four short double-helical elements and three loops (D, anti-codon, and T loops).
Source: Rfam by way of RNAcentral